Molecule: transfer RNA, 75 nt
Filed under: Planctomycetaceae bacterium TMED10
Lineage: Bacteria; Pseudomonadati; Planctomycetota; Planctomycetia; Planctomycetales; Planctomycetaceae
Also listed under: 5 other names
Description: tRNA-Pro
Rfam family: tRNA
About the family: Transfer RNA (tRNA) molecules are approximately 80 nucleotides in length. Their secondary structure includes four short double-helical elements and three loops (D, anti-codon, and T loops).
Source: RNAcentral
CGGGCUGUAGCUCAGCUUGGCUAGAGCGCUGCGUUCGGGACGCAGAGGUCGUAGGUUCAAAUCCUAUCAGCCCGA